Molecule: transfer RNA, 72 nt
Filed under: Bos taurus (domestic cattle)
Lineage: Eukaryota; Metazoa; Chordata; Mammalia; Artiodactyla; Bovidae
Also listed under: 3 other names
Rfam family: tRNA
About the family: Transfer RNA (tRNA) molecules are approximately 80 nucleotides in length.
Source: Rfam by way of RNAcentral
UCCCUCUUAACUCAGUUGGUAAAGAAUCUGCCUGCAGUGCAGGAAACCUGGGUUUGAUUCCUGGAUUGGGAA